UGAAAACAAAAAAGAAAUAAAAAAAUUAAAACUGUGGAAAAAAGAAACCUAUCAUAGCCUAUACGAGACAUCUCGUGAUUUUUUUUUGACAAACCUCUUGGUUUGUCUUUAAGAGAUUUCAUAAUCACGGGAAGGAAGCUGGGACCACGUCAAGUCAUCAUGGCCCAUAUGGAGUGGGCUACACGUGUGUGACAUGGACCGUUUCAAUGCGUCAAGGUUAAAAACCUUGGUCUAGGAAAAACGGUCAUAGUACGGAUGAUUGUUUGCAACUCAGCAAUCUGAAGCAGGAAUCGCCAGUAAUCGCGGAUUAGCCCGCCGCGGUGAAACUUAGAGGCUUACCCGGGGCAUUCACCGCCCGUCACGUUCGGAAAGUGGUGUGUGCUGGAAAGAGAUCUCUUUUCUUUUCGCAGUUUGUCUAAACCUUGUAGGUUUACAGGAAACACAGAAAGUCUAAGGAACUUCUUGGGACACUAUGCUUGCAGGGCUAAAGCCAAAGGCCAAAGGCUUAAGGCCUUUAGAUCUUUAACUUUUAGAGCUUAGUGUUUCAAGGAUUACGUUG
RNAcentral lists this ribosomal RNA (559 nucleotides) under Chlorolobion braunii. RNAcentral describes it as "small subunit ribosomal RNA". The stretch from base 1 to 325 matches the Rfam family "Bacterial small subunit ribosomal RNA", at positions 1116 to 1366 of the family's 1533-position model. Lineage: Eukaryota; Viridiplantae; Chlorophyta; Chlorophyceae; Sphaeropleales; Selenastraceae. The record is from RNAcentral.